GAUGAACGCUGGCGGCGUGCCUAAUACAUGCAAGUCGAGCGAACAGACGAGGAGCUUGCUCCUCUGACGUUAGCGGCGGACGGGUGAGUAACACGUGGAUAACCUACCUAUAAGACUGGGAUAACUUCGGGAAACCGGAGCUAAUACCGGAUAAUAUAUUGAACCGCAUGGUUCAAUAGUGAAAGACGGUUUUGCUGUCACUUAUAGAUGGAUCCGCGCCGCAUUAGCUAGUUGGUAAGGUAACGGCUUACCAAGGCAACGAUGCGUAGCCGACCUGAGAGGGGGAUCGGCCACACUGGAACUGAGACACGGUCCAGACUCCUACGGGAGGCAGCAGUAGGGAAUCUUCCGCAAUGGGCGAAAGCCUGACGGAGCAACGCCGCGUGAGUGAUGAAGGUCUUCGGAUCGUAAAACGCUGUUAUUAGGGAAGAACAAAUGUGUAAGUAACGAUGCACGUCUUGACGGUACCAAAUCAGAAAGCCACGGCUAACUACGU
RNAcentral lists this ribosomal RNA (496 nucleotides) under uncultured bacterium. RNAcentral's name for it is "partial 16S ribosomal RNA". It matches the Rfam family "Bacterial small subunit ribosomal RNA", at positions 28 to 506 of the family's 1533-position model. The record is from RNAcentral.